Falco peregrinus (peregrine falcon) is the source of this 432-nucleotide long non-coding RNA. RefSeq lists it as uncharacterized. The record is from RefSeq and is a predicted model, not a curated record. Lineage: Eukaryota; Metazoa; Chordata; Aves; Falconiformes; Falconidae. The transcript has 2 exons.
GAAAAGGGACUUGCUUUAGAUUUGAAACAAAUUUAUUUGCCUCAGUGUUUUCCUGAUGUUUUUAAAUCUAGUAAGUAUUUUUUUCUUCUUUGCUGUAAGAACAGACACAUGCUACUACAUGGCAUGGUAUCAUUAUUUAUAGGAAAAACUAGUUAUAUUGAAUGACAUUUGACAAGGUCUGAAAAAACAGCAACAACAUUUUGAUUUUAUGUGAAAUUAAUAUUCACAGGAAAAUAAAAAAAAACCAAGAAAAAAUAAAGAUUUUAAAUAGCCAUGCAUGUUAAGCAGCAAAUCUCUUCAAAGGCCUUUUACUUUCUGAAACAAAGGCAGGAUCUGCGUAAUUUGAAAAUGGGCAGGAAUACAGAAAAGCACAAUUUGUAAUCAUGAUUAACAUCACCAAAAAGAUGCCUGGCUUUUUUUUUUUUUUUUUUU